RNAcentral lists this ribosomal RNA (467 nucleotides) under uncultured bacterium. RNAcentral describes it as "partial 16S ribosomal RNA". It matches the Rfam family "Bacterial small subunit ribosomal RNA", at positions 28 to 507 of the family's 1533-position model. The record is from RNAcentral.
GACGAACGCUGGCGGCGUGCUUAACACAUGCAAGUCGAACGGAAAGGCCUCUUUCGGGGGGUACUCGAGUGGCGAACGGGUGAGUAACACGUGAGUAACCUGCCCUUCACUUUGGGUUAACUUCAGUAAACUGGGGCUAAUACCGGCUAGGAGCUCCUGCUGCCUGGUGGGGGCUGGAAAGUUUCGGCGGCUGGGGGUGGACUCGCGGCUUAUCAGCUUGUUGGUGGGGUAGUGGCUUACCAAGGCUUUGACGGGUAGCCGGCCAGAGGGGGUGACAGGCCACAUUGGGACUGAGGUACGGCCCAGACUCCUAAGGGAGGCAGCAGUGGGGAAUAUUGCACAAGGGGUGGAAGCCGGAUGCAGAAACGCCGUGGGCGGGAUGACGGCCUUCGGGUUGUAAACCGCUUUCGCUCAUGACGAAGCUUUGUGUGACGGUAGUGGGUAAAGAAGCACCGGCUAACUACGUG